GUGUGAGGCCGACGGUGGCAGAGCUCGUAGCUCGCAGGAUUCUGUGUUUUAACGAAUACGUGGAGGUCACUGAUGCCAAAGACUACGACCGGCGGGCAGACAAACCCUGGACCCGGCUCACUCCCGCUGAUAAGGCUGCUAUCCGUAAGGAGCUGAAUGAGUUUAAGAGCCGAGAGAUGGAGGUCCAUGAAGACAGCAAACAGUUUACCAGAUUCCAUCGGCCCUGAGCACUCUCACUGCCAGCUGGAUGUCAGCGCCACAAUCUCUCCAGUCCACAGCUUCCAGCAACCCCCAUCCCCCCUGUCCCUCCAGACCCUCAGACCCUCAGACCCUCAGUACACAGCUCAGUCCAUUUUUCUUUUGGAUCCUCUCACAACCGAUGAAAUACAUUUCUGUCUAUAGUGACAGUAACAGGUGUGUCUUCAGGCCUUGGCCAUCCGUGGGCACCAGUGAAACAUUUGCACAUAUCUAUAGUCAGGACAGUGGUGUGUAUAGCACUCUGAUUAUAUUAUUUAUUGUAGAUGGCCAGAACAUACUGGUCUGUGAUGUUUUUUUGUUUUUGUUGUUUUGGUUCAUUUCAUCAUAGAGAGGCUCCAGGGAGGAAGAAAGUGGGCAAAAAGACAUUUUUAGUACCGUGAAUGUGACUCAGCUGUAGUAAAGAGUUUGUGUCAAUAUGCCUUGUUAUAAACUGCCAAAUGUCCAUAUAUGGGCAUCCUCUGAGAACAGGAAAUGGCAGUGAUUGGAUGCUUGCGUGCUGGUCUCAUUGCCAUGUCACAGAUCAGAAGGGGAGGAGAGAGGCAGUUGAUUCGGCUCAGAUGUGCCUCUCAGUCGGAUCUGGAAUAUUUAAAGUAUAUUGCCACUAGGGGGCAUUAUAUCAUUAUAGUUAUAGUCUGUGAGGAUGAAGAUUUUAAUGUAAUCUGUAAAGUGUUUUACUUCUAACUGCUGCAGCCUAGGGAUCGGUGGGCACCUGAGGCUCUUAACAGUGAAGUGCAAUGGAGAUCACUCCAGAUCGAGACCAUUCGAACCCCUCCGCCUCCCGAUGAUACACGAUGACCACGUGCCAUCGUAUCUUACGUUGAGUUAAACCCCUGUUCACAAAGUGCUGGCCUUGCUGUUUAGAGGAUCUGCUUUUCAAGCUUUGACUUUUCAUUUUACGCUUUUGGCUGAAGCUCUAAUUUGGUGCCAACGAAAAAGCAGGAAUUUGAUUCUACGUUUUUUUUUUCUCAUUUGAAAGUGAUUUAGUGCGGCGGACUUCCCAGGGUGGUUUCAUAAAUGGCCAACAGGCACUGAGAGGUUCCCCACUGAAGCAAUCAACAGUCGUCUGGAACAAGUCGAGAAGUACUUCAUUUUCCAUUUCCUUGGCUGUGCUCUUGCAACUCCAUCGGUCAGCUCACGAUGGAGACGCAGCGCGAGACGAGCUGACAAGUGGUCCUUUUGCAUCUCGCCCUAACAUGCACCGUGAAACCAAAGAUCUGCUUUCAUCGACACACAGUUUGAUCUAUCAUUUGCAUCUGAGAAUAGAAAAGGAUUGUUCCAACCUUUUGGGGAAAUACCCAAUAACACCUUCACACACUUUCUUGGCGAGUGUAAAGUUUGAAGGUCAAUGCCAGCAGCAGGCUACAAGCUCCGCUCACCAUAGAAACUGGGAGCUUUUAAAAAGAUAAGAUGUCGAUUUAGAGGUGCAGAGCCAGGCUAGCUGUUCCCCUAUGUUUCCAGUCGUUAUGCUAAAAUAAGAUAAUCUCCUGCUUAGUGUAGCUUCAUAAUUCCUGGUAGGAAUCUGAAUGAGAGUAUAUCCCAAAAGGUUGAGCCAUUCCUUAAUAUCACAUGUCAAGCACACCGAUGUUAUAGUAAUCUAAGCAGUCACAAGGCAGGUUAUAAGGCAGAAUAAUGUAUUUCCUGGAAAUAUGUUUCGACCCUAGACGUAUGAUGUGUUGGCAACGUGGCUGAGGUGGUUUGGUUUUAUGGAUUUCUAGCAUACACCUUCGGUGCAUCGAUGGAUUUUCUUCUUUGAAGUGCUCAAAUACUACAAGAUGUAUGUUAAUGUGAAGGGCAUCAAUUAAUAAUGCUUUCUUUUUGCGUAAAGGCCAAAAUGUUUGGCGGCGCGAUCAGAAAAAGAAAAAAGGACCGCCAACCUGAAUUUAUAGAUUGCUCUGUUAUAUAAUAUAAUGCAUAUAAGAAGCUGGGACAGAAAUAAAACUAAACUCUCGAGAUGUUUAUUAGAGAAUUAAACAAAACUGUUCAUAAAAGGAUUUUUUUAAAAGAUGUUUUUCUCCCCAGCAUAUUUGGACUAUAGAGGAGAUGUUGACUGAAAGGUGGUUGCCAUAUUGCGCUUGCUGACGUCCAGAGGCUCGUGUUCUCAUAAACGACCUCCGACCUCGACAACACUCGUCAUUCUGACCAAUAAGAACUGAAAGAGACAGAUUUAUUCGUUUUGCUUCUGAAUGUGAAUGGGUUUGUAACAUGAAAUGAUGUACAGUGAUGGAAAGGAACCAAAAGUAUUCAUUCAUGACUAUGUUGCUAUAUAUAUAUAGAUAUAGACAUAUAUAUGUAUAUAUAUAUAAAUAUUAUUUUGUACACAUACAUGUAUAUCGAGCAUGUGCAUACAUUGAAAUAUAUUUGACCCCCAAUAUGAAACAAUAGAACUUUGAUGUGAAGGUUUUAAACUCGUGAUUUUAAUUGUCUUAUUUUAUUUUCCCGGGACAAUACGAAAGAAAUGAACAGUUCAUGUGUACGAGCCGUUUCUAGGCAGCAUAUUGAGAACAGUAUGUUGAAUAACUGCCACGUCUUAACCAAACCUACCUGUUACCGUAACAGACCAUGCACCAGCCUGAAUAUGGGACGGUCAUUAUACAUGUUAUUUUGUAUUCUGUUCCACUUUCACUCAAACUGAAGUCAGCGGGUGCAAUGCAGUCAGUAUGCCAUGGAUAGAGAUGGUUUAAAAGCAAUUUAUAAUCCUUUCUAGACUUCACUUCUGAUUUAUUUCUUCAGAUGACCGUCGGGUCACCUUGCACAAACUAUAACAAAAACAGGACAUGACUUGAAAUCAUAUGUGGUUCAUGCACAGUAUGUAAUCUAGUUGAAUUGUACACGUGAUGAAACAUGAUUUGGAUUGGUUGCACAUGAAGUGAGCUUCUAUAAAGGUGAACAGAAUGCAUCAAAGACCAAAACGCGUUUUAGAUGCACAAAUAUAACGUGUUGGUGGAAUAGCUUUUAUCCCAGCGUGGCUAAGGAAACAUAAAUAUGCUGCUUGCAUCGCUGUUGAAAAGACGAGUUAAUCUCUAAAGCAUUACUGGCAACAUGUUUAUUUCAACCGAGCCGAUCUGGCAUUUAUAAGCAGUAUAUAGUUGGGUAAAUGUCAAUGGAGGUGAAAGCAGAUAUAAAGACAUGUAAUGCAGCUAUAACCAAUAUGGUUAUCACAAAGGUGACAAUGUCACCUUAGCUCAUGAUUAUGAACCUACAUAAAAUUACCAGCUUAUUGUUUAAGUGUCCACAGCGUUCCUGUUCUGGUUCUCUCUCACGGCAUCAUUUCUGCUUAGUUGAUGUUAUGUUGAUUGGAUCAAGUAUGAAGUGUUUAACACAUUCAUAAAUGGUUUUUAAAACUACCGGAAGGUUUUUAAAUCUGUGUGAAUAUCUCGUAGUUACACAGUCAUGAAAAUAUGUGCUGACAAUCAUUCAUAAGCUGCUUAUACAACAAUUCUGGAAGUUAAAAUUGAAGAAAAAGUACAUUAAUAAACACUAAAUUACCGGUAGUGGGUUACAAAGCUGUUAUGAUUAAUAUACUGCUUAUAAAUACAUAGAAGGGUAAACAUAAAAGUAUUUGUAAAUACAGAGUUAAAUCUUGUUGUAUAGUUUAACACACAGCACAAGGGUGUCCUGGUCUGGACUUUCAUCACAUUUAUAUCUAUAUAUAUAUAUAUAUAUAUAUAUAUAUAUAAAUAUAUAUUUAUAUAUAUAUAUAUAAUUUUUUAAUUCCCAUGCAACACUGAUGCAUAAAUCCAUAUCGUGGUCCAAAAUUAGUUGUAGGUGUUAAGUUAUAACCAGUCAGUAUUAAUCUGGUAUGGAACUGUGAAAUAUACACAAUAAACCCCAAGAAAAGUUAUAAUAACACAACCUUUGUUUCUUUGCAUCGUUGAAGUAUUAAAGAUACAAUUCCUGCCAUUAUAUUUAUUUCAAGAAAAUUCCAGUUGAGUUGGUUUAAAGCAUUCACAGAUGUGCUGACACUUGUUCUUCCCGACUGCUGCGGUUCAUCUGCAGCGCCGGAGCCUUCCACCGUGACGAUGAACAUGUUACAUGUGAGGAUGUCUGCUGAUGGAGCGCUGCUUGAGGCUUAUCAUUUCCACAAAUCAACCCCCCCCCUCACCCCCCUCCAAAUAAUAUCAAAGAGCCAUAAUCAGACUGCUGCUGCUGCUGUUGGCCCUGAAGCUUGCAUUCUUUGACAUGUAAUGGUUUCUAGAUUAUGGGAACGUCACAAUAAAGUGUCGUGAUUCACUCGGGAACACAAGUGUCAGUCACAAUAUAAACCUUUCAGCUUUAAAUGCAUUGAAAGUCAUUGAAAAUCAUUUCUUUUUUUUAUUUGUAUUGAUCUUUGAAGUCAUAGGAUGAUGUAAUAUAUCCCUAAAACAGCUCCUGUUACGUCAAAACUGUAUAUUGUUUUUGUAUAUAAAGAAUCAUAGGAAAACCUC
Molecule: long non-coding RNA, 4682 nt
Organism: Pseudoliparis swirei
Lineage: Eukaryota; Metazoa; Chordata; Actinopteri; Perciformes; Liparidae
Exons: 3
Source: RefSeq, a predicted model, not a curated record